RNAcentral lists this ribosomal RNA (298 nucleotides) under uncultured Pseudomonas sp. Its description in RNAcentral is "partial 16S ribosomal RNA". It matches the Rfam family "Bacterial small subunit ribosomal RNA", at positions 1089 to 1382 of the family's 1533-position model. The record is from RNAcentral. Lineage: Bacteria; Pseudomonadati; Pseudomonadota; Gammaproteobacteria; Pseudomonadales; Pseudomonadaceae.
GUAACGAGCGCAACCCUUGUCCUUAGUUACCAGCACGUUAGUGGUGGGCACUCUAAGGAGACUGCCGGUGACAAACCGGAGGAAGGUGGGGAUGACGUCAAGUCAUCACUGGCCCUUACGGGCCUGGGCUACACACGUGCUACAAUGGUUGGGUACAAAGGGUUGCCAAGCCGCGAGGUGGAGCUAAUCCCAUAAAACCGAUCGUAGUCCGGAUCGCAGUCUGCAACUCGACUGCGUGAAGUCGGAAUCGCUAGUAAUCGUGAAUCAGAAUGUCACGGUGAAUACGUUCCCGGGCCUU